UACGGGAGGCAGCAGUGGGGAAUAUUGCACAAUGGGCGCAAGCCUGAUGCAGCCAUGCCGCGUGUAUGAAGAAGGCCUUCGGGUUGUAAGUACUUUCAGUCGUGAGGAAGGUGUUAAGGUUAAUAACCUUAGCAAUUGACGUUAGCGACAGAAGAAGCACCGGCUAACUCCGUGCCAGCAGCCGCGGUAAUACGGAGGGUGCGAGCGUUAAUCGGAAUUACUGGGCGUAAAGGGCACGCAGGCGGUUAAUUAAGUUGGAUGUGAAAUCCCCGGGCUUAACCUGGGAAUGGCAUUCAAGACUGGUUAGCUAGAGUCUUGUAGAGGGGGUAGAAUUCCAUGUGUAGCGGUGAAAUGCGUAGAGAUGUGGAGGAAUACCGGUGGCGAAGGCGGCCCCUGGACAAAGACUGACGCUCAUGUGCGAAAGCGUGGGGAGCAAAC
RNAcentral lists this ribosomal RNA (438 nucleotides) under uncultured bacterium. Its description in RNAcentral is "bacterial SSU rRNA". It matches the Rfam family "Bacterial small subunit ribosomal RNA", at positions 340 to 773 of the family's 1533-position model. The record is from RNAcentral.